Long non-coding RNA from Mytilus trossulus (common blue mussel), 1084 nucleotides. RefSeq lists it as uncharacterized. NCBI's taxonomy places the organism in Eukaryota, Metazoa, Mollusca, Bivalvia, Mytilida, Mytilidae. The record is from RefSeq and is a predicted model, not a curated record. The transcript has 3 exons.
UUUUAAUAAAAAGCCAUUUCUUUUUCUAAAUUUUAAUAAAUAACCUUCUUAUUUCUAAUUUUGAAAUAAUGACCCCCUUUUUUUUUGUGUGCUGGUGGUGUUGCCACAGGUUUGUGUAUGCGUCUAGUGUGGUUGGGAGUCAAAGACUCUUACACUGCCGCUGGAUAGCUUAUAUUCAUAGGUGAAAAGAAAGCUGAGUGCGUAAGUCUUUCCUUCCAGUACAUAGCCUCUACACAAACAAGACUUCUACAGUGCCUCCCCGUGACAGCACAUGGUAACUAGGAUCUAGUGUCCUAGGCUUGACUGUAGAGGAUCUCGGAGUAGCAAGGACCCUAGAGAUGAAGUGUGUAGGCCGAUCGACAUGCGGACAUUACUAGCACUCAUCAACCUUGCCCCAGUUAUGGGUUAAAUAGCUGACUGAAUGAUGGUCGUCAGCCGUGAAAGAAGGAGAAGAAAACUCUUGAUAUAAAAUUUUUGGUAAUGUGUAUUUGACUCAUCAGCAAUUGAUCUAAAGGAAAUAAAGCUUGAGUAAAGAUUCUCUGGUUCUCCAGGUUUGGGAUUGAGAGUUAUGCCAAGAUCCUGUCCAUGUAAAGAAUGAUUAUAUACUGAUUAAUCUCCCAGAUGAGGAACAUCACUACCAGAUCUGCAUCUUUGACAUUCGAAAGACAAGUUAUUCAGCAUAUUUUGAAAAGAGAGUAGGACCUGAAUGUAAAAUAAUACCAACUUUAAGACCAAGCGUGCUAGUUAAUUUAGAAAUCAACUGAAGCAGAAGAAUUAAUUGUGUUGAUCUGAGGAACUUCGAAACACUUAUUGACCAAAAACAAUAUGUAGUAAAGUAAUACAAUUAUGUUAUAAGAGAGAGAGAUAGAAAGAGGGGGAGAGCCAGUUGUAAAGAUUUAUUCUUUUAAACAAGAUACGUUGAUUACAAACGAAUUUCAUAGGCCUACAGUUCCCCCCUAAAUGGUCUUAGUUAAUACAUGUACAUGUAUACUAGGUGUUUAAUGUAGGACUUUGAUGUAACUUGUAAGAACAAUCAGCUGCCAUUGGUUUAACUCUAUUUUUAUGCCCUUCAGUUGGGGGGGGG